AGAGUUUGAUCCUGGCUCAGAAUGAACGCUGGCGGCGUGGAUAAGACAUGCAAGUCGAACGGGGAAUCUUUGGAGCUUGCUUCGAAGGUUCCUAGUGGCGAACGGGUGAGUAUCACGUGAGCAACAUGCCUCGAAGAAUGGGAUAGCCCACCGAAAGGUGGAUUAAUACCGUAUGUGGCUGGCGAUCCUAGGAUUGCUUCGCUAAAUGGUGGGGAACCUUCGGGUCCUGCCGCUUCGAGAUUGGCUCGCGGCCUAUCAGUUAGUUGGUGGGGUAAAGGCCUACCAAGACUACGACGGGUAGCCGGUCUGAGAGGAUGUCCGGCCACACUGGAACUGAGACACGGUCCAGACACCUACGGGUGGCAGCAGUCGAGAAUCAUGCACAAUGGACGAAAGUCUGAUGCUGCAACGCCGCGUGGAGGAUGAAGGCCCUAGGGUCGUAAACUCCUGUCAUCAAAGAGUAUGGGGGUGAUGGUUAAUAACUGUUGCUCCUGAUAGUAUUUGAAGAGGAAGGGACGGCUGACUUCGUGCCAGCAGCCGCGGUAAUACGAAGGUCCCGAGCGUUAUUCGGAAUCACUGGGCGUAAAGAGUAUGUAGGCGGCGCGGAAAGUCAGGUGUGAAAGCCCGGGGCUCAACCCCGGAACUGCACCCGAUACUCCCGCGCUAGAGUAAUGGAGGGGAGUCUGGAAUUCACGGUGUAGCAGUGAAAUGCGUGGAUAUCGUGAGGAACACUAGUGGCGAAGGCGAGACUCUGGACAUUUACUGACGCUGAGAUACGAAGGCCAGGGUAGCGAACGGGAUUAGAUACCCCGGUAGUCCUGGCAGUAAACGGUGCUCGCUUGGUGUGAGAGGAUUCGACCCCUUUCGUGCCGGAGCUAACGCGUUAAGCGAGCCGCCUGGGGAGUACGGUCGCAAGACUAAAACUCAAAGAAAUUGACGGGGACCCGCACAAGCGGUGGAGUAUGUGGCUUAAUUCGAUGCAACGCGAAGAACCUUACCUGGGCUUGACAUGCCGUCAUAGUCCCGUGAAAGCGGGACGUCAGUUCGGCUGGACGUGCACAGGUGCUGCAUGGCCGUCGUCAGCUCGUGUCGUGAGAUGUUGGGUUAAGUCCCGCAACGAGCGCAACCCCUGUGAUUAGUUGCCAGCACGUAAUGGUGGGGACUCUAGUCAGACUGCCCAGAUCAACUGGGAGGAAGGUGGGGACGACGUCAGGUCAGUAUGGCCCUUAUGCCCAGGGCCGCACACGUACUACAAUGCCCAGCACAAUGAGAACCGAUAUCGCGAGGUGGAGGAAAUCUAUAAAACUGGGCUCAGUUCGGAUUGGAGGCUGCAACUCGCCUCCAUGAAGCUGGAAUCGCUAGUAACGGCACAUCAGCUACGGUGCCGUGAAUACGUUCCCGGGUCUUGUACACACCGCCCGUCACAUCAUGGAAGCCGACCGCACCCGAAGUAUCUGCGCUAACUUUUUAAGAAGCAGGGUCCUAAGGUGUAGUUGGUAACUGGGAUGAAGUCGUAACAAGGUAACC
Molecule: ribosomal RNA, 1527 nt
Filed under: uncultured bacterium
Lineage: Bacteria
Description: bacterial SSU rRNA
Rfam family: Bacterial small subunit ribosomal RNA
Source: RNAcentral